GAUGAACGCUGGCGGCGUGCCUAAUACAUGCAAGUCGAACGAACAGACGAGGAGCUUGCUCCUCUGACGUUAGCGGCGGACGGGUGAGUAACACGUGGAUAACCUACCUAUAAGACUGGGAUAACUUCGGGAAACCGGAGCUAAUACCGGAUAAUAUAUUGAACCGCAUGGUUCAAUAGUGAAAGACGGUUUUGCUGUCACUUAUAGAUGGAUCCGCGCCGCAUUAGCUAGUUGGUAAGGUAACGGCUUACCAAGGCAACGAUGCGUAGCCGACCUGAGAGGGUGAUCGGCCACACUGGAACUGAGACACGGUCCAGACUCCUACGGGAGGCAGCAGUAGGGAAUCUUCCGCAAAGGGCGAAAGCCUGACGGAGCAACGCCGCGUGAGUGAUGAAGGUCUUCGGAUCGUAAAACUCUGUUAUUAGGGAAGAACAAAUGUGUAAGUAACUAUGCACGUCUUGACGGUACCUAAUCAGAAAGCCACGGCUAACUACGUG
Molecule: ribosomal RNA, 497 nt
Filed under: uncultured bacterium
Lineage: Bacteria
Description: partial 16S ribosomal RNA
Rfam family: Bacterial small subunit ribosomal RNA
Source: RNAcentral